GUUGUAUGGUUAAGUGACUAAGCGUACACGGUGGAUGCCUUGGCAGUCAGAGGCGAUGAAAGACGUAGUAACUUGCGAUAAGCCCAGAUUAGGUAGUAACAACCAUUUGAGUCUGGGAUUUCUGAAUGGGGAAACCCACGUGCAUAAGCACGUAUCCUUACCUGAAUACAUAGGGUAAGGAGGCGAACCGGGGGAACUGAAACAUCUAAGUACCCCGAGGAAAAGAAAUCAACCGAGAUUCCGAAAGUAGCGGCGAGCGAAAUUGGACUAGCCCUUAAGCUUUACACGCGUUAGACGAACGGUCUGGAAAGUCCGACGAUACAGGGUGAUAGUCCCGUAGUUGACGACGUGUGUUCAGUGAAAUCGAGUAGGGCGGGACACGUGAUAUCCUGUCUGAAUAUGGGGGGACCAUCCUCCAAGGCUAAAUACUACUGACUGACCGAUAGUGAACCAGUACCGUGAGGGAAAGGCGAAAAGAACCCCUGUGAGGGGAGUGAAAUAGAACCUGAAACCGUGUACGUACAAGCAGUAGGAGCAGGCUUUGUCCUGUGACUGCGUACCUUUUGUAUAAUGGGUCAGCGACUUAUAUUCAGUGGCAAGGUUAACCAUCUAGGGGAGCCGUAGGGAAACCGAGUCUUAACUGGGCGUUCAGUCUCUGGAUAUAGACCCGAAACCAGGUGAUCUAGCCAUGGGCAGGUUGAAGGUUGAGUAACAUCAACUGGAGGACCGAACCGACUAAUGUUGAAAAAUUAGCGGAUGACUUGUGGCUAGGGGUGAAAGGCCAAUCAAACCUGGAGAUAGCUGGUUCUCCCCGAAAGCUAUUUAGGUAGCGCCUCGGACGAAUACUACUGGGGGUAGAGCACUGUUAAGGCUAGGGGGUCAUCCCGACUUACCAACCCUUUGCAAACUCCGAAUACCAGUAAGUACUAUCCGGGAGACACACGGCGGGUGCUAACGUCCGUCGUGGAGAGGGAAACAACCCAGACCGCCAGCUAAGGUCCCAAAUUACUACUAAGUGGGAAACGAUGUGGGAAGGCUCAGACAGCCAGGAUGUUGGCUUAGAAGCAGCCAUCAUUUAAAGAAAGCGUAAUAGCUCACUGGUCGAGUCGGCCUGCGCGGAAGAUGUAACGGGGCUAAGUAGUAAACCGAAGCUGCGGCAAUAUACUUUUGUAUAUUGGGUAGGGGAGCGUUCUGUAAGCGGUUGAAGGUGUGUGGUAACGCAUGCUGGACGUAUCAGAAGUGCGAAUGCUGACAUGAGUAACGAUAAAGGGGGUGAAAAACCUCCUCGCCGGAAGACCAAGGGUUCCUGUCCAACGUUAAUCGGGGCAGGGUAAGUCGACCCCUAAGGCGAGGCCGAAAGGCGUAGUCGAUGGGAAACGGGUUAAUAUUCCCGUACUUCUUACAAUUGCGAUGGGGGGACGGAGAAGGCUAGGUGGGCCUGGCGACGGUUGUCCAGGUUCAAGUGCGUAGGCUUAAGAGUUAGGUAAAUCCGGCUCUUUUUAAGGCUGAGACACGACGUCGAGCACCUACGGGUGUGAAGUCAUUGAUGCCAUGCUUCCAGGAAAAGCCUCUAAGCUUCAGAUUGUAAGGAAUCGUACCCCAAACCGACACAGGUGGUCGGGUAGAGAAUACCAAGGCGCUUGAGAGAACUCGGGUGAAGGAACUAGGCAAAAUGGUACCGUAACUUCGGGAGAAGGUACGCUCUUGAUGGUGAAGUCCCUUGCGGAUGGAGCUGACGAGAGUCGCAGAUACCAGGUGGCUGCAACUGUUUAUUAAAAACACAGCACUGUGCAAAAUCGUAAGAUGACGUAUACGGUGUGACGCCUGCCCGGUGCCGGAAGGUUAAUUGAUGGGGUUAGACUUCGGUCGAAGCUCUUGAUCGAAGCCCCGGUAAACGGCGGCCGUAACUAUAACGGUCCUAAGGUAGCGAAAUUCCUUGUCGGGUAAGUUCCGACCUGCACGAAUGGCGUAAUGAUGGCCACGCUGUCUCCACCCGAGACUCAGUGAAAUUGAAAUCGCUGUGAAGAUGCAGUGUACCCGCGGCUAGACGGAAAGACCCCGUGAACCUUUACUACAGCUUGGCACUGAACAUUGACCCUACAUGUGUAGGAUAGGUGGGAGGCUUUGAAGCACGUACGCUAGUAUGUGUGGAGCCGUCCUUGAAAUACCACCCUUGUAGUGUUGAUGUUCUAACGUCGACCCCUUAUCGGGGUUGCGGACAGUGCCUGGUGGGUAGUUUGACUGGGGCGGUCUCCUCCCAAAGAGUAACGGAGGAGCACGAAGGUGGGCUAAUCACGGUUGGACAUCGUGAGGUUAGUGCAAUGGCAUAAGCCCGCUUGACUGCGAGAAUGACAAUUCGAGCAGGUGCGAAAGCAGGUCAUAGUGAUCCGGUGGUUCUGAAUGGAAGGGCCAUCGCUCAACGGAUAAAAGGUACUCCGGGGAUAACAGGCUGAUACCGCCCAAGAGUUCAUAUCGACGGCGGUGUUUGGCACCUCGAUGUCGGCUCAUCACAUCCUGGGGCUGAAGUCGGUCCCAAGGGUAUGGCUGUUCGCCAUUUAAAGUGGUACGCGAGCUGGGUUUAGAACGUCGUGAGACAGUUCGGUCCCUAUCUGCCGUGGGCGUUGGAAGAUUGAAGGGGGCUGCUCCUAGUACGAGAGGACCGGAGUGGACGAACCUCUGGUGUUCGGGUUGUGUCGCCAGACGCAUUGCCCGGUAGCUAAGUUCGGAAUCGAUAACCGCUGAAAGCAUCUAAGCGGGAAGCGAGCCCUGAGAUGAGUCUUCCCUGAUACUUUAAGUAUCCUAAAGGGUUGUCGGAGACUACGACGUUGAUAGGUCAGGUGUGUAAGUGCUGUGAGGCAUUGAGCUAACUGAUACUAAUUGCCCGUGAGGCUUAACCAUACAACACCCAAGGGGUUU
This 2916-nucleotide ribosomal RNA is filed under the name Vibrio parahaemolyticus. RNAcentral describes it as "23S ribosomal RNA". It matches the Rfam family "Bacterial large subunit ribosomal RNA". The record is from RNAcentral. Lineage: Bacteria; Pseudomonadati; Pseudomonadota; Gammaproteobacteria; Vibrionales; Vibrionaceae.